This 484-nucleotide ribosomal RNA is filed under the name uncultured bacterium. RNAcentral's name for it is "partial 16S ribosomal RNA". It matches the Rfam family "Bacterial small subunit ribosomal RNA", at positions 30 to 505 of the family's 1533-position model. The record is from RNAcentral.
AUUGAACGCUGGCGGCAUGCCUUACACAUGCAAGUCGAACGGCAGCACGGGUGCUUGCACCUGGUGGCGAGUGGCGAACGGGUGAGUAAUACAUCGGAACAUGUCCUGUAGUGGGGGAUAGCCCGGCGAAAGCCGGAUUAAUACCGCAUACGAUCUACGGAUGAAAGCGGGGGACCUUCGGGCCUCGCGCUAUAGGGUUGGCCGAUGGCUGAUUAGCUAGUUGGUGGGGUAAAGGCCUACCAAGGCGACGAUCAGUAGCUGGUCUGAGAGGACGACCAGCCACACUGGGACUGAGACACGGCCCAGACUCCUACGGGAGGCAGCAGUGGGGAAUUUUGGACAAUGGGCGAAAGCCUGAUCCAGCAAUGCCGCGUGUGUGAAGAAGGCCUUCGGGUUGUAAAGCACUUUUGUCCGGAAAGAAAUCCUUGGCCCUAAUACGGUCGGGGGAUGACGGUACCGGAAGAAUAGGCACCGGCUAACUACG